UAAUUUAGUGAACAGCUUGUUCCAUACUACUGUAAAUAUAAACUUCUUUUAAGAUUACCUGACAGCUGUGUUUGUUAUCUGUAAUUUGAACCGUGCUAAGAUUGUAAACAAAACUAAAUGAACCUUGUAAACAUAACAUAAUGAGAAAGCAGUUUUAUAUUGAAACGUGGUGUUUGUAAAUGUUAUUUCAUUUGUCUUCCAAUGAAUGAAGUUGAAAGUCAUGCCUACUUGUUCUGUCUUUCCAGGUGGAAGAGGCUGUUCCACUGCUACUGCACCAGGACAGAUCCUGUACUGUAGUGCUCGUGCUGGCCAGGGGACAAAGUUGGAGACACUGGCUGUCCCCAUGGGCUGUGGUUUACAGAAAGGGCUCUGCUGCACUGUCCAAACUCGGCAGCAGUCAGGAGCUGUUGUCCAUGGGACAGUCACGUGAACGCCAGGGUUCGGCUUUGUAUCAACCUGGACAUGAUGUGGGUCAAUGCUGACUAAAGAAUACACCUGGCACAGUGUCAUGAAGGCCAAGUUUCAGGGAUGUUUUUCAAUAAAAGAAUCAUUGAAGAUA
Long non-coding RNA from Branchiostoma belcheri (Belcher's lancelet), 559 nucleotides. RefSeq lists it as uncharacterized. Lineage: Eukaryota; Metazoa; Chordata; Leptocardii; Amphioxiformes; Branchiostomatidae. The transcript has 2 exons. The record is from RefSeq and is a predicted model, not a curated record.